Molecule: ribosomal RNA, 253 nt
Filed under: uncultured bacterium
Lineage: Bacteria
Description: partial 16S ribosomal RNA
Rfam family: Bacterial small subunit ribosomal RNA
Source: RNAcentral
UACGUAGGUGGCAAGCGUUGUCCGGAUUUACUGGGCGUAAAGCGCGCGCAGGUGGCGCGUCAAGUCUGGUGUGAAAGCCUCCGGCUCAACCGGAGGAGGCCACUGGAGACUGGCGUGCUCGAGGUGGGUAGGGGUCGGUGGAAUUCCCGGUGUAGUGGUGAAAUGCGUAGAUAUCUAGAGGAACACCAGAGGCGAAAGCGAAUCACUGGACAGAACCUGACGCUGAGGCACGAAAGCUAGGGGAGCAAACGGG